AGCAGCCGCGGUAAUUCCAGCUCCAAUAGCGUAUAUUAAAGUUGUUGCAGUUAAAAAGCUCGUAGUUGAAUUUCGGGAUUGACACAUCGGUCGUGCCUUAAGGGGUAUGAACUGGUGUAGCCAAUUUCUCACCUUCUGGAGAACCGCGAUGCCCUUAAUUGGGUGUCGCGGGGAACCAGGACCUUUACUUUGAAAAAAUUAGAGUGUUUAAAGCAGGCAUUUUGCUUGAAUACAUUAGCAUGGAAUAAUAAAAUAGGACGGCAUGAUUCUAUUUUGUUGGUUUCUAGGAUCACCGUAAUGAUUAAUAGGGAUAGUUGGGGGCAUUAGUAUUCAAUUGUCAGAGGUGAAAUUCUUGGAUUUAUUGAAGACUAACUACUGCGAAAGCAUUUGCCAAGGAUGUUUUCAUUAAUCAAGAACGAAAGUUAGGGGAUCGAAGACGAUCAGAUACCGUCGUAGUCUUAACCAUAAACUAUGCCGACUAGGAAUCAGACGAUGUUAAUUUUUUAAUGACUCAUUCGGC
Molecule: unclassified non-coding RNA, 520 nt
Filed under: uncultured Entrophospora
Lineage: Eukaryota; Fungi; Glomeromycota; Glomeromycetes; Entrophosporales; Entrophosporaceae
Description: SSU rRNA
Rfam family: Eukaryotic small subunit ribosomal RNA
Source: RNAcentral